This 1269-nucleotide long non-coding RNA is filed under the name Lonchura striata (white-rumped munia). Its description in RNAcentral is "domestica (Bengalese finch) lncRNA (ENSLSDG00000012938.1)". The record is from RNAcentral. Lineage: Eukaryota; Metazoa; Chordata; Aves; Passeriformes; Estrildidae.
AAAUUCCCAUUUUUUUCGCCCCAAAAUUCCCAUUUUUUCUCCUAAUAGUCCCAGAAAAUCCCCCCAAAAUUCCCCUUUGUUCCCCAAAAAAUUCACCCAAAAAAAUCCUUUUUGUCCAAAAUCCCCCCAAAAAAUCAUGUAAAAAUUCAAAACAAUUCCCAUUUUUAGUCCCAAAAAUCCCCCUAAAAAUUCCCAUUUUUUCCCCCAAAAAUUCAUUUUCCCACUAAAUUCCAAAAAAAUCCCCCCCAAAAAUUUCCAUUUUUCCCACAAAAUUCCCAAAAAAUCCUCCCAAAAUCUCCCACUUUUUCCACAAAAACUUCCCAUUUCUUCCCCCAAAAAAUCCCCCAAAAAUUAAUAUAAAACUCUCUUUUUUUUUCCUCCAAACUUCCCAAAAUGUGCCCCAAUAAAUUCCCAUUUUUUAGUCCCAAAAAUCCCCCCAAAAAUGCCCGUUUUUUCCCCACCCAGCCGUGGGUUCCCGUUGUUCCUUCAGGCAGCCACAGCCAGGCCGUGCUGGAGGCCCCCAAAAUCCAAAAGAAUUCUCCUUUUCGCCCCAAAAAACCUCAUUUUUUCCCAAAAAAUUCCCGGUUUUCCCUCAAAAAUUUCCUUCUUUCACCCAAAAUUCCCUGUUUCCCCACCCAGCUGUGGGUUCCGGUUCUUCCCUCAGGCAGCCACAGCCGGGACAGCGCCGCACUUGAGGCGCCACCCCAAAAUCCAAAAAAAAAUCGCAUCUUUCCCCCAAAAAAUUUCAAUUUCUCAAAAAAAUGCAUAUUUUUUUCUCCCAAAAUUCCCAUUUUCCCCCAAAAUUCCUGGGUUUUUCUACCAAAAUCCCACGUUUCCGCACCUAACCGUGGCUUCCCGUCGUUGCGUCGCCUCGGGCAGUCGGGGUCGCGCCGCGCUGGAGGCACCCCCAAAAUCCGAAAAAAUCGAAUUUUUUCCCCAAAGAAUUCCCAUAUUCUCCCAAAAUUCCCAUAUUUUUCCUAGAAACAUUCCCAAAAACCUGUUUUUCUCUCAAAAUUCCCAUUGUUUCCGCAGCCAAACGUGGCUUCCUGUUGUUGCCGUCGUUCUUCCCUCAGGCAGCCACAGCCGGGACAGCGCCGCGCUGCUGGUUACUCCAAAAUCAAAAGAAAUUCGCAUGUUUUCUCAAAAAAAUUCCCAUUUCUCUUAAAAAAAUUGUAUUUUUUCUCCCAAAAUUCCCAUUUUCCCCCAAAAUUCCUGUGUUUUUUCCACCAAAAUCCCCAAAACCCCCACGUUUCCGCACCUAACCGUGGC